This 329-nucleotide unclassified non-coding RNA is filed under the name soil metagenome. Its description in RNAcentral is "partial contains 5.8S ribosomal RNA, internal transcribed spacer 2, and large subunit ribosomal RNA". The stretch from base 1 to 120 matches the Rfam family "5.8S ribosomal RNA", at positions 35 to 154 of the family's 154-position model. The record is from RNAcentral.
GAUGAAGAACGUAGCGAAAUGCGAUAAGUAAUGUGAAUUGCAGAAUUCAGUGAAUCAUCGAAUCUUUGAACGCACAUUGCGCCCGCCAGUAUUCUGGCGGGCAUGCCUGUCUGAGCGUCAUUUCAACCCUCAAGCUCUGCUUGGUAUUGGGCCCCGCCAGUUCUGGCGGGCCCUAAAGUCAGUGGCGGUGCCUUCCGGCUCCGAGCGUAGUAAUUCUUCUCGCUCUGGAGACCCGGUUGUGUGCUUGCCAACAACCCCCAAUUUUUUAAGGUUGACCUCGGAUCAGGUAGGGAUACCCGCUGAACUUAAGCAUAUCAAUAAGCGGAGGA